RNAcentral lists this ribosomal RNA (425 nucleotides) under uncultured bacterium. RNAcentral's name for it is "bacterial SSU rRNA". It matches the Rfam family "Bacterial small subunit ribosomal RNA", at positions 608 to 1029 of the family's 1533-position model. The record is from RNAcentral.
CUCAACUGGGAGAGUGCCUGGGAAGCCACGGGGCUGGAGUGCCGGAGAGGGAAGCGGAAUUCCUGGUGUAGCGGUGAAAUGCGUAGAUAUCAGGAGGAACACCGGAGGCGAAGGCGGCUUCCUGGACGGACACUGACGCUGAGGCGCGAAAGCUAGGGGAGCAAACAGGAUUAGAUACCCUGGUAGUCCUAGCCGUAAACGAUGGGCACUUGGUGUCGGGGGUAUAGAGUCCCCCGGUGCCGGCGGCAACCCGUUAAGUGCCCCGCCUGGGGAGUACGGCCGCAAGGCUGAAACUCAAAGGAAUUGACGGGGACCCGCACAAGCGGUGGAGCAUGUGGUUUAAUUCGACGCAACGCGAAGAACCUUACCGGGGUUUGAACUGCCGCGGACGUCCUCCGGAGACGGGGGGUUUCCUUCGGGAACCG